UUUUGUCGUCUUCUCUAUCAUUUGGAGAAAGAAACCACGACGUCUUCUCUCAUCUUCUCCGUCAGAGACGAUCGACGAUUCGAUCAGUCCUCACGGCGUCUCGUCCUUCUUUUCUCUUGUUCUCCGUCAGACGAUCGAUCCUCACGGCGUCUCGUCCGUCUUCUUUCUUGUUCUCCGUCAAACGAUCGAUCGAAACCCAUCUCUCUCUCACCCUUUCUCACACCACCAUCCUCUUCUGUUCCCCUGUCCUCGCAUCAACAGCCCCCUUCACCUCAAUCUCCGACCAAUCCACCGUGAACGCGUUUCGUAAUCUCAAGUUUCUUGGUAAGAGCUCGGUUCAGGUUCCGUAUAGUGGGGAAGAUGAGUCGAGGGUUUUGAAGAGAGUUAAAGGGAGCUUCUCUGAUCAGGAGAACACAGUUGUUUGUGUCCUUGACAAUUUUGAUGGUAACUCAAUGAAAGUGGCUGAAUUGCUGGUUGAGAAUGGAUUCAAGGAGGCUUAACUUGAAGCUUUCCUACGCAAUGUUGUUUGUUUUGAUAAUUAUCAGAUAUUGUUGAUAGUCAUGCGUGUUUAUUUCUUCAAAGUUUGUGGCCUUACGGAUUUCACUUCCUUUUCUACCUGUUCAGUGCUGUUACAGGUGAGAAUGUGCACGUAUCUUUUGCUGGUUUAUGGACCUGUAAGGAGCCACCUCGGUUUCCCUGCUUGGAGACUUCGAUACACUGAGAUAGUGUAUGUGCUUUGUACUCUUCUUUUUCUGAAAUUCCUAAUCAUCAACACGUAUAUAUUCAGAGCUAAAUCUCAUCAAGUUUGUCUUUUUGCGGUAUUUGUUUGUUGAUAGACAUAUAGGAUCGUUGAAGUAUGUGAGAUAUGGUUUUCUUUUGAAGGCAAUCCACACAAAAAGUUAAUUUU
Brassica napus (rape) is the source of this 907-nucleotide long non-coding RNA. RefSeq lists it as uncharacterized. The record is from RefSeq and is a predicted model, not a curated record. Lineage: Eukaryota; Viridiplantae; Streptophyta; Magnoliopsida; Brassicales; Brassicaceae. The transcript has 3 exons.